CACGUAGGGGCCAAGCGUUGUCCGGAUUUAUUGGGCGUAAAGAGCUCGUAGGCGGUUUGUCGCGUCUGCUGUGAAAACCCGAGGCUCAACCUCGGGCCUGCAGUGGGUACGGGCAGACUAGAGUGCGGUAGGGGAGAUUGGAAUUCCCGGUGUAGCGGUGAAAUGCGCAGAUAUCGGGAGGAACACCGGUGGCGAAGGCGGUUCUCUGGGCCUGUACUGACGCUGAGGAGCGAAAGCGUGGGGAGCGAACAGG
This 253-nucleotide ribosomal RNA is filed under the name uncultured bacterium. RNAcentral describes it as "partial 16S ribosomal RNA". It matches the Rfam family "Bacterial small subunit ribosomal RNA", at positions 524 to 776 of the family's 1533-position model. The record is from RNAcentral.